Long non-coding RNA from Anolis carolinensis (green anole), 3546 nucleotides. RefSeq lists it as uncharacterized. The transcript is spliced from 2 exons. Lineage: Eukaryota; Metazoa; Chordata; Lepidosauria; Squamata; Anolidae. The record is from RefSeq and is a predicted model, not a curated record.
AAACAUCAGUUUGAUGUACAAUUAAAGCACAGUAGAAAUUACAAAAUUAAACAUAGCAAAACAAUUAUUUAAAACAUCUUAAAAUGAAACACAAAAUAGUUUUGAUGCCUGGAUUAAACGAUGGCACAAAUGUGUACAAAUUGAUGGUGACUAUGUUGAGCAGAAGUUUUGUGUAGAGGAUAGUUCAGGCUAUGGUCUGUAGUAACUUCUGCUGUUGUAUGUUCAUUCAUAAUGUUUUUAUGACACAGGAAGCCAAACCUUUAGACUCACUCUUGUACAUACACUGUAGAUUAUUGUAUACCUUCAGCAGGACCCACUGUUUUUGGUUGUUUGACUUCUGAAGCACCAUGCACAUUGAUGGCACUAUAUAAAUGAUAAUUAUUGUGAUGAUCUGCACUCUGAUACAUUUUUAGUAGCUGAGAAGGUGGAGCUGUGCCCAAUGAUUGCCUGUUUAGCUUGGAGUUAGAUAGUCCCUAUAGUUUUCCUCUUCAAUAUGUAUGUAUAUUUAUGUAUUUGGCCCUUUUGCUUCUUUCUUACCUGUUAGGCCAUUUCCUUCUGAAGAAGUAAUUUAACAAGAACUCUUAAUAACCCUGUCUGUGUUCACUUUUCAAAGCUAAAUUAUUCCAACUCUUUCAACUGUUCCUCUUGGACUUGGUUUCCAUGCUCCUUUCUGUUCUGACACUCCUUUUUAUUUUCCUUCUUAUGCUUACUUAUUGAAAGGCUUGCUAAUCAGCAUUAUGCAAUGGUGAGAUAAAUACACUUUUUAUAAAUAAUAAUAAUUUAAGUAUGGAUGGGAUUGCUAUGGAACUGGGAUUUACUUUUGUGCAGAAGAAAUACACUACGGUCUCUGUUUUGUGACAGAAUGUUACAAUCUAAAACUGGCUGUAAUCAUUCAAAUCCUUAUUUAAAAUAACUCUUUGUUGUAUUUCGGCUUUGUCCAUUUGUAAUACAGACGUUUAUUUUUAGGGUGGAUACUUAAAUUAUUGCUUCUUUUCAGCCAAUCAACAUCCUUUGAUAUUUUCCUGAUUGAAUUUUGGAAAUUGUAAAGGAGCGACUUGGGGAACUGCAAGUCACUUCUGGUGUGAGAGAAUUGGCCAUCUGCAAAGACAUUGUCCAGGGAACACCUGGAUUUUUUUAAAUGUUUUUACCAUCGUUGUGGGAGGCUGGAGCUGGUAGAGAGAGCUCAUCCAUGGUCUCCCCAGGUUGGAUUCAAACCGGCAACCUUCAAGUCAGCAACCCAGCCUUCAAGUCAUCAGUCCUGCCAGCACAUUGUGCCACCAGGUUAAGUAGCUAAUAAUUUGAAACUAGUCUUUCUCAAUCUUUGAUUUAAUUGAUUAACUAGUUGCAAAUUAUUAACUAAUUACUGUUAACUAAUUUCCCAAAAUUCUGUUAGUGUCUUGUUGUUCUUGUUCUUCAAGUCACUUCCAACUUAUGGUGAUGCUAACGUGAACCUAAAACACUAGUCUUGCUCAGAGGAACCAAGGUUGCCUUUGUCUUCUUCCAAGGCUGAGAAAGAAUGUGACUUGCCCAAGCUCAUCCAGUAGGUUUCAGUGGUCUCCAAGUGCACAUCUAUGCAGGCCAAAGAGGCCUGGGUUGAUCCAGAAUGGAGUGCUUUGAGUCAGCCCUCCAGGCGUCCACACAGCCCACCUUUGUGCCACUGCAGCAGCGGAAGGAUGUCUGAACUGGCCGGUACUGCCCCACUACAUAGCCCCUUUUACUUUGUUGUUUUGUCAUAUCACUGUCAUAGCAAUGACCAAAGGGGAAUUAAAAACCAUUAAAAAUAGAGAAGACCCAUAAGUGCAUAAUAAAAAUAAUGUUCUGAUGCAAUUCACAACUGUAGUUACAAAUGUGAAACAGAAUUACACAUUUAUAACUGAUUCAUGUUUACAGCCCCUACAUAUUCAAUAGGGUAGUGUCUUCCAAGGACUUCAGCUCCCAGGAUCCCUGAUUAUUAGCCAAGGCAGCUGAGACUUCUGGGAAGUGCUAUCCAAAAUAUUUAGAGGAGUAGAGUUUGGUAAUCAGUCAUGUAAAGAAAAUGUAGGGGUCGUAAAAGUCCCCAAUCCUAACUUAAAAGACAUCACACUUAUGAGCAAUGAGGAUCUCUUCCCUCAUCAAUUAAGACACAAAGAACCAGCUUUUCCAACUGCCUUUCAUGGUGACCUCCAGUGUGAGUUGCAACAGAGAUCCUCUUUCUGAUAGUCCAGUGGUUCUCAACCUGUGGGUCCCCAGAUGUUUUGGCCUUCAACUCCAUAAAUCCUAACAGCUGGUAAACUGGCUGGGAUUUCUGGGGAUUAUAGCCAAAACACCUGGGGACCCACAGGUUGAGAACCACUGUGAUAGUCACACAAGACUUUGCUUACAGGAGGGGGUGAAAAAGUCAGUCUGCUGCAUGAAAUGUGACAGGAGAACUGACCCCUAUUGCUUGUAGCAGCUGCUGCCCAGUAAAUAAUUUCAAAUAAAAAUUAUACUACAAAUACAUCAAAUUGAGGUGUCAGACCAGGAGAUGCUAACUGGUAUAAAAUCUUGGUCAUUAUUAUCUAGUUUAGUCCCUGCAAUUCACACCCUUCCUUUUGCCCAGCAAAUUGUUUGAGAGGUUCAGCUCAAGAAGCUUCUUAAGUUAAAUUUCAAAGAGAUAUAUAAAGCACCAAAAGCAGUGUAACCUUUGAGAGCAUAUAAAAGCCAGAAAAUGUUGGGCUUUUUAUUAAUAAAUGAUACAUCCACUGAUUAUAUUGAGUACUCCCCAGCUUUUAUUUCCUAAACAAUCAAUGCACAACUCUACAUGUAACCUUUUGUGCUUUGCACUUCAAAUGUAACAUCUUGAUCAUUGCUUUUUAGAUGUAAGCUUCUAACUGGAGCGAAUUACAGGGCGCAUUCAACGGCUCUGUUUAAGGAGCUCCACUGGCUGCCGUUUACUUUCUGGGCCCAAUUCAAGGUGCAGGUUAUCACCUACAAAGCCCUAAAUGGUUUGGGACCCACCUACCUUAGAGAUCGCAUCUCCCCCUACGAACCCGCAUGUUCUCUUCGCUCGUCGGGGGAGGCCCUUCUCUCGCUCCCACCACCCUCACAGUCGCGGUUGGUGGGGACGAGAGAGAGGGCCUUCUCCGUCGUGGCCCCCCGGCUUUGGAACUCUCUUCCUAGAGAGAUCAGGCAGGCCCCUACCCUCCUCUCCUUUCGUAGGAGUUUAAAAACCUGGCUCUUCCAGAAGGCCUUUGACACCUAAUUAGAUGUUGGACUGAUCCAUCUGCCCAUUUGAUAAUAGCCCCCUUUUCUGAGAUGUUGCCAAUGCUAUUUUGCACUUUAUUGUCAAUUGCACAUUCUGUUCUGGAUUUUAUGAAUUAGUCUCCUGUUUUAAUAUUGUAUGUUUUUUGUAUGCUUUUUGCUGAUUUUAACGAUUGUUUUAUUGCUAUUGAUGUUUUACUGAUAUAAUUGUUUUAUAGUCGUGUUAUUGAUAUUGAUUGUCUUAUUGGGCUAGGCCCCAUGUAAGCCGCCCCGAGUCCCUUCGGGGAGAUGGGGCGGGGUAUAAAAAUAAAGUUAUUAUUAUUAUUA